GUGUGCAAAGAAAUUAGGUUAAGCCUUGAUUCCUCCCACGAGACGGGAGCCAUUUUCUCAGGCGGUCAGAGCACGGGGAGGGGCAGAAGUGGGUUUACUGCAAAGAGGGCAAGAAAUUAUAGGAGCUUGAGGCCUCACCAAACCUGAAUCUCUCCUUGGGGGGAGUGAGCUCACUCUGGGGCCAGCCAAGGGAUCCCGUCAUGUCUGGGCUCCCUCUGGGCAGCCUGCCCUGAAAGAGAAGAUAACCUGCAUUCUGAAAGACUAGUGAAGAACAAAAGGAAGUGACACGGGCCGUAUUGGUUCUGGAGGUUUGCAGAACUCCUUACAUUUAUGGAGGUCCCCUUCCGCCAAUUGUUUUAACUCAUUACACCCGCAGGAGAUUUUAGCAAAUCUUAUUUGCAUAACUUUGUUCAAGACAGUCCCUCCACCUGGAAUUCUCUGUUUUCCUUGCAUUGCGCACCUGUGCCACCCUCCUCCUCCAGACUCUUGACUAUUGAAAUUGAAAUUUUAUUGUCUUUUAAGGUCUGCUUCCCAGUUUACCUCCUCCAACUUCACCAAUGCAGUUGGAAAUUGUCUCUCUGCUCUGAACUCCUCGGUCACAGUCUGAUCACACCCUGGCCUGAAUUGAAGUUGUUUGACAGCUCUUCUGUCUUUUUUUUCCUUACAUCUUCCAGAGUUUCUAAUGUUCAGGCUCAGUAAGUACUUGAAUGAAUAGACAGCCAUAUGGAUCCUGACAGGAGUGCUCCCUCACUGCAUGCCAAAUGCAAGUCAAGGACAAGACCAAGGAGACCUCUGCCCGGCCCAGCCCUCUUUCAGGCACUUCUGUGAUACCAUGUGUCUCUCUCCGAUGAAGCCAUUUUUUCUCAGAUUCCUUGGGAAAACAUCCCAGGCAUGUACAAUAACGGUCACCACUCUGACCAGGGGAAUGUCCCAGCUGAAUUUAUGUUUUUACCCUCAAGGACCAUGCAGCUAAACUCCACAUAGGGUGGGGCCCAGUAAUGAGAGAAGACUGUGGUGUGAAUGCCAGCAAUUUAGAGCGUUGGGCCCCUGCCCCUGAUGCAGCCAAAGGGCACUGCCCACUCUCCAUAGGACUGUUGUUAAUGGCCAAAGGGUGUCCUAUGAGUGUCAAAGGAAAGUUCACAUUUCCAUGGAAGGAUCAGAGGCCAAGGGAGAGGUCAGAUGCAUCUGUGGGGCUUUUGUCUGGUUGUUCUUUGUUAAAACCCACAUGUGGACGUAUUUUGAUCUCCCACAUAUCUGCAUGUGUUUCUGGGUGGAUGAGAAUGCUGUGCAGCUGGACCCUGAGUAAUGGUUCCGGCCUUCAACAAGCUCCGCGGAGGAGCAGUUUAGACAGGGUUGCAUUCUGCUCUCAAUUUCCACUUUGGCAAAGGAAACUGCAUAUUCAUCUCAUCAAGUAAGGGGAGAGUUAAGGGCGCUGCCACCAAAUUCUUCUCCCUUCCCAUAUGUGCAAGUCAUGAAGGAAAAGUUCUGACUGUGUUUUUCUGUCAUGCCAAUUCAUGGCUUAGGUGUGUCAAUGCCAGCCUAGUUCCUAGUACAUAGUAGGUGUUAUUUUCUAACUUUGUAUUAUGGGAAAUUCAAAGCAUGUACAAAGAUAGACAGCAUGUACAAGAUUUCAGGCAUAUAAAAAGGUACCUAUCAAUCAGUUUCGACGUUUAUGAACUCAUGGCCAAUACUGUUUUAUAUAUACCCCAACUCACUUCCUCCACCCCAUCUGCACUAUUUUGAAGCAAAUUCCAGACACCAUACAAUUUCUUCCAUAAACAGUUUUGUAUGAAUCUCUACAGUACCAUUUCACAUCUAAAAAAUAGCAGUAAGUCCUUAAUAUUAUCAAAUAUCUAGUCAGUAUUCAAAUUUUAAAUUGUCUCAUAAACGUCAUAAUUUUUUUUGUUUCCUUAUUUGAUUCAGAAUCCAAAUAAGGUCCACACAUUUGACUGACUGUAUGACUCAUUAUGUUUCUGUUCACCUAUAGAUGCUCCCUCCACCUCUCAUUGUCUCUCUUUCUCUCUGUUUCUUCUCUUGAAGGAAGUGAGUUGUUAGCCAUGGGGAGUUUCCAGCAGUCUACAGUUUUCUGACUGCAUCCCAGUGGUGUUAUUGUACAUGUAUCUUUGUCUUCUGUUUUUCCUGUAAAUUGGUAGUUGGGUCUUGGGUUUGAUCAGCUUCAGAUCUUAUUUUUACUUUUUUGGUAGGUCUGCUUUAUAGAUGCUCUAUUCUUCUAUCAGGAAGCACACGUGAUAUCUGUUUUCUCUCUUUGUGAUACUAGCAGCUAUUGAUGAUCAAUCCCUAGAUCCAUUAAUCCAUUGGAAGUCGCAAGAUGGUGAUGAUGAUUCUGCCAUUACUUCUUCAUUUAUUAGCUGUAAUACUUCUGUAAAGAGAAGAGAAACUUCUCAUCUAUUACUUGGUUAACCAUUGCAAUCAUCCAUAUAGGAAAGCCAGGAUAAAUGCUUGAUAAACCCCUUAUUUACCAGUGAUGAGGAAAAAAAGAAAAAAGAAUUGAUUCACCAACCUCAUUCAAGUGUGACGAAUUACUAUCUUUUAGAAUCAACAGGAACUCAUGAAUUUAAACAUAUUGAUGCAUUUUAAUCUAUUGCAGGUACUGUCAUUAUUGAUUUUUUCAAACUGUCCUGUCUUCGUCCAGCAGGAGCGUCUUAAAGUUGGCUCAUUAGUCCUUGGAUGCAAUUCGACUUGUCUCUGAUAAAGUUCUAUCUGGCAUGACAAGAUGUUCCAGGUAUUACAUUUUGGCCUCUCGCAAGAUGCCCAGCCCAUUACUAUGAAAGAAUCCACAGUCUCUGGCCCUGCAGAGGUUACCAUCCAGCGUGGAGGAGAGGCAGCCAGCCAAAUAAUUUACAUGUGUGGUAAUUGCAGUAAACUUUUAUUAGUGUUGUCAGCACAUUCGACACCUUUAUUGCAUUUGCCGAGCCCAGUGCCUGGGGACACAAAGGCAAAUAGUGAAAUUUAUCGAAUCCAUGCCAUGCAUCGCAGUCAUGCCAUUACUCUUUGUUAAAAAUCUCACCAAGAAAGAAAAAACACUGCCAACUAUAAUAUAAAUGCUUACUGAUUUCAGAGAUGCUAACUGCUGCAAAUCUGAUCUUAGAAUGAAUGAGAUGCAGUAAUCCCUUCCAGAUUCACCCAGAAGACAGGCAGGGAAACAAUCACACAGCCAAGGAAGAGGCACCAUUGGAGAGGUCUGAACAAUGUGCUAGGUUGGUCCGGAGCCAGGAACACCCGAUGGUAACCAAGAGGCAAGGCGGGUAGGCAUCACAGAGGAGCUGCCAUCUGAACAAGGUCUUAAUGAAUGGGUAAGGAUUUGCAGGGGAGAAGACAGGGCAUUCCAGGCUGAGGAAACCACACGUGCAAAGGCGAAAAAGAAUAAGAAUCACAUUCGGGGCUUUGGGUAUACGCCUCAAAUGAAGGCUCACAAUGGUAUGUUAGGUUUUAUUAUUACUUCUUUCUCACAGUGGAGAAAAUGGGCACAGGUUUAGUAAUCUGUCCAAGGUCUCAGCUGGUAAUCAAGAAAUAUUAGCUAUCGUUAGUAUUUCAGUCCAGUCAGUGGGCCAUUGUUCUAAAGCUGCGCUAUUCAACAUGGUAUCUACGAGCCACAUGUGGUCACUUGAAAUGUGGUAGUCCAAACUGAG
Equus caballus (horse) is the source of this 3650-nucleotide long non-coding RNA. NCBI's taxonomy places the organism in Eukaryota, Metazoa, Chordata, Mammalia, Perissodactyla, Equidae. The record is from Ensembl.